UAAGAAUCUUCCGCAAUGGGCGAAAGCCUGACGGAGCGACGCCGCGUGGACGAUGAAGGCCGUGAGGUUGUAAAGUCCUUUUCGGGGGGGGGAAUGAGGUCCGCAGGGAAUGGCGGGCCGAUGACGUGAACCCCGGAAUAAGCCCCGGCUAACUACGUGCCAGCAGCCGCGGUAACACGUAGGGGGCGAGCGUUGUUCGGAAUCAUUGGGCGUAAAGGGCGCGCAGGCGGCGAGGCAAGUCCGGUGUGAAAGUGCUCGGCUCAACCGAGUGAUGCGCUGGAAACUGCCCUGCUUGAGUACAGGAGGGGACGUCGGAAUUCCAGGUGUAGGGGUGAAAUCUGUAGAUAUCUGGAAGAACACCGGUGGCGAAGGCGGACGUCUGGCCAUGUACUGACGCUGAGGCGCGAAGGUGCGGGGAGCGAACA
Molecule: ribosomal RNA, 425 nt
Filed under: uncultured Sphaerochaeta sp.
Lineage: Bacteria; Pseudomonadati; Spirochaetota; Spirochaetia; Spirochaetales; Sphaerochaetaceae
Description: bacterial SSU rRNA
Rfam family: Bacterial small subunit ribosomal RNA
Source: RNAcentral